This 408-nucleotide ribosomal RNA is filed under the name uncultured bacterium. RNAcentral describes it as "partial 16S ribosomal RNA". It matches the Rfam family "Bacterial small subunit ribosomal RNA", at positions 28 to 526 of the family's 1533-position model. The record is from RNAcentral.
GACGAACGCUGGCGGCGUGCCUAAUACAUGCAAGUCGACCUUAGUGGCGAACGGGUGAGUUACCCGUGGGUAACCUGCCCAUCAGCAGGGGAUAACACUUGGAAACAGGUCCUAAUACCGUAUACUGAUGUAUGGACCCGCGGUGCAUUAGCUAGUUGGUGAGGUAACGGCUCACCAAGGCCACGAUGCAUAGCGGACCUGAGAGUGGAAUCGGCCACAUUGGGACUGAGAAACGGCCCAAACUCCUACGGGAGGCAGCAGUAGGGAAGCUUCGGCAAUGGACGAAAGUCUGACCGAGCAACGCCGCGUGAGUGAAGAAGGUUUUCGGAGCGUAAAACGCUGUUGUUAGAGAAGCGGUAUCUAACCAGAAAGCCACGGCUAACUACGUGCCAGCCGCCGCGGUAAUAC